GCUGGGUGUGGUGGCGGGCACCUGUAAUCCCAGCUACUCAGGAGGCUGAGGCAGGAGAAUCUCUUGAACCCGGGAGGGGUGUGGAUAUUGCAGUGAGCCAAGAUUGCACCACUGCACUCCAGCCUGGGUAAUAGAGCGAGACUCUGUCUCCA
This is an unclassified non-coding RNA of Pongo abelii (Sumatran orangutan), 152 nucleotides long. It matches the Rfam family "Metazoan signal recognition particle RNA". From Rfam's summary of the family: The signal recognition particle (SRP) is a universally conserved ribonucleoprotein. It is involved in the co-translational targeting of proteins to membranes. The eukaryotic SRP consists of a 300-nucleotide 7S RNA and six proteins: SRPs 72, 68, 54, 19, 14, and 9. NCBI's taxonomy places the organism in Eukaryota, Metazoa, Chordata, Mammalia, Primates, Hominidae. The record is from Ensembl.